UGUGUCCUCACCAAGGGCAUCCUACGUCAAGUGAGGUGACUCCCUCUGAAGAGAACAGUCCCCAGGAAAAUGAACUCCAUGGAUCACCUCUGCUAAGCCACAGGCAGCUUCUCAAGAUCCGUGUUUCUCCGUCCCUUCUGACUGCGUGUGCAAGCUCACCCAUUUGUAACAAGGCUUGGGGGAUCGAAAGGCACGAGAUCCCUGACACACAUCAUCUCAGGCAUAUUGCUUAAACUGACAGAGUGAAAGACAGGAUCUGUUACAGAGAGCUGUAGAAUCUGGGAGAGUCAAUCAGCUGCCCUGGGGAGCCACUGAAGCUGCUUCACCAACAGUAGACAAGGACAGAAUGAAUGAACACCUGAAGUGCUCACCUCAGGCUGUGUGUGGAGGGGAGGCGGCUGCAGAGGGUGGUUGGUACCAGGCAGGAUCUGGAAUGCACUCUGGAGCAUCAUUCCCACCCAAAAACCUGCAGAGGGAGCAGAGAAUGACGAGGUCUCUGAUUUAGGCAGGUCAGAGAGAUGCCCGAAGCUGGAGGAAGUGCAAAGUCUGCUUGACUGAGGUCUUCCUUUUCACCUCAAGAAAAAAGAACAAUAUAGCAAUGGAUGAAAUAUGCUCAGAGAAGACAAAUUAAAACUGAACAAUUGGAGUGGAAGAGAAACACAUGUCUAAAGAGAAAAUGCAAUAGAAAUGCUCUCAGAGAAAAUAUUAAACUGAAGUUCUGAAACAUCUAUAUGUUGAUUGAUCCUUGUAGGCCAAGUCAUGGUCCUUUAGCAGGAAUUUCUCAGUUCACUGUCAGAGACCAGGAUUGGGACCCACCACAGUGAUGAUGGAAGAGGAUCAUGGGCAAGUGGGAAUCUCCUGAAGUCUGGGGCGUUAGCUGCCUUAUUCUGAGUUUGUUUCACUUGCAUUUUCAUGCCAAGCAGAUAAUAAAUCUGGCAAGGGAAUACUUUCUAGGAAAAGA
This 961-nucleotide long non-coding RNA is filed under the name Cyanistes caeruleus (blue tit). RNAcentral's name for it is "lncRNA (ENSCCEG00000020022.1)". Lineage: Eukaryota; Metazoa; Chordata; Aves; Passeriformes; Paridae. The record is from RNAcentral.